AUUGAACGCUGGCGGCAGGCCUAACACAUGCAAGUCGGACGGUAGCACAGAGAGCUUGCUCUUGGGUGACGAGUGGCGGACGGGUGAGUAAUGUCUGGGGAUCUGCCCGAUAGAGGGGGGUAACCACUGGAAACGGUGGCUAAUACCGCAUAACGUCGCAAGACCAAAGAGGGGGACCUUCGGGCCUCUCACUAUCGGAUGAACCCAGAUGGGAUUAGCUAGUGGGCGGGGUAAUGGCCCACCUAGGCGACGAUCCCUAGCUGGUCUGAGAGGAUGACCAGCCACACUGGAACUGAGAAACGGUCCAGAAUCCGACGGGAGGCAGCAGUGGGGAAUAUUGCACAAUGGGCGCAAGCCUGAUGCAGCCAUGCCGCGUGUAUGAAGAAGGCCUUCGGGUUGUAAAGUACUUUCAGCGGGGAGGAAGGGAGUAAAGUUAAUACCUUUGCUCAUUGACGUUACCCGCAGAAGAAGCACCGGCUAACUCCGUGCCAGCCGCCGCGGUAA
This 504-nucleotide ribosomal RNA is filed under the name uncultured bacterium. RNAcentral's name for it is "partial 16S ribosomal RNA". It matches the Rfam family "Bacterial small subunit ribosomal RNA", at positions 30 to 523 of the family's 1533-position model. The record is from RNAcentral.